UACGAAGGGGGCUAGCGUUGUUCGGAAUCACUGGGCGUAAAGCGCACGUAGGCGGCUUUCUAAGUCAGGGGUGAAAUCCUGGAGCUCAACCCCAGAACUGCCUUUGAUACUGGAGAGCUUGAGUCCGGGAGAGGUGAGUGGAACUCCGAGUGUAGAGGUGAAAUUCGUAGAUAUUCGGAAGAACACCAGUGGCGAAGGCGGCUCACUGGCCCGGUACUGACGCUGAUGUGCGAAAGCGUGGGGAGCAAACAGG
RNAcentral lists this ribosomal RNA (253 nucleotides) under uncultured bacterium. RNAcentral's name for it is "partial 16S ribosomal RNA". It matches the Rfam family "Bacterial small subunit ribosomal RNA", at positions 524 to 776 of the family's 1533-position model. The record is from RNAcentral.